ACUAAGCCUAGCCCAACACACCUAACACAUAUCUUCCAUGUUACUAAUACUAUAAAACCUAAAAAUAAAACAUUUACAAGUUUAAAGUAUAGGAGAUAGAAAUUUACAAAGGCGCUAUAGAGAUAGUACCGCAAGGGAAAGAUGAAAGAAGAACAAAACUAAUAGUACAAAACAGCAUAGAUUACACCUACUACCUUUUGCAUAAUGAAUUAACUAGAAUAUUUUGGCAAAAAGAAUUGUAGUCAAACCCCCCGAAACCAAACGAGCUACUUCUGAACAGCUGUAAGAGCGAACUCGUCUAUGUAGCAAAAUAGUGAGAUGAUUUAGAAGUAGAGGUGAAAAGCCUAUCGAGCUUGGAGAUAGCUGGUUAUCCAAACAAGAAUUUUAGUUCAACUUUAAAUUUUCCUAAAAAACUCAUAAUUUCACUGAAAGUUUAAAUGUUAAUUUAAGGAGGGACAGCUCCUUAAGUAAGGAUACAUCCUUGAACAGAGAAUAAACAAUUUAACUACCAUAGUAGGCCUAAAAGCAGCCAUCAAUUAAGAAAGCGUUCAAGCUCAACAAACCACUUAUAUCUUAUCCCAAAAAGCCAGUAUCACUUCCUGUUAAACAAUUGGAUCAAUCUAUUAUCAAAUAGAAGAAAUAAUGUUAAUAUUAGUAACAAGAAUUUAUUCUCCUUGCACAAGCUUAGAUAAACUCAACCAAAUUAACAACCUUAUAAUAAAACUACUAAUUAAUUAUAUUAUAUUGUAAAUAAUUGUUAACCCAACUCAGGUGUGCAUAAAGGAAAGACUAAAAUAAGCAAAAGGAACUCGGCAAACACAAAUCCCGCCUGUUUACCAAAAACAUCACCUCUAGCAUAUCAAGUAUUAGAGGCACUGCCUGCCCGGUGACUUUUUAGUUUAACGGCCGCGGUAUCCUGACCGUGCAAAGGUAGCAUAAUCACUUGUUCUUUAAAUAAGGACUAGUAUGAACGGCUCGACGAGGAUUUAACUGUCUCUUGCUUAUAGUCUGUGAAAUUGACCUUCUCGUGAAGAGGCGAGAAUAAAAAAAUAAGACGAGAAGACCCUAUGGAGCUUAAAUUUACUAACCCAUUAUUAUUUAACCAAAUCUAAUAGAAGUAAACACAUAAGCCAUGGGUUAGCAAUUUUGGUUGGGGUGACCUCGGAGUAAAACAAAACCUCCGAAUGAUUUUAACCUAGACUCCAUAAGUCAAAGUUUCUAAUCAUAAAUUGACCCAGAACAUAUCUGAUCAACGGACCAAGUUACCCUAGGGAUAACAGCGCAAUCCUAUUCAAGAGUUCAUAUCGACAAUAGGGUUUACGACCUCGAUGUUGGAUCAGGACACCCAAAUGGUGCAACCGCUAUUAAAGGUUCGUUUGUUCAACGAUUAAAGUCCUACGUGAUCUGAGUUCAGACCGGAGCAAUCCAGGUCGGUUUCUAUCUAUUAAAAAUUUCUCCCAGUACGAAAGGACAAGAGAAAUAAGGCCAAUAAAAAAUUUACGCCUUAAUAGUAAAAGAAUGAUAUCAUAUCAACUCACCAACUAUUAACUACAACUACCCGAGAGAAGGGUUU
RNAcentral lists this ribosomal RNA (1573 nucleotides) under Tympanoctomys barrerae (plains viscacha rat). RNAcentral's name for it is "16S ribosomal RNA". It matches the Rfam family "Bacterial large subunit ribosomal RNA". Lineage: Eukaryota; Metazoa; Chordata; Mammalia; Rodentia; Octodontidae. The record is from RNAcentral.